AAAUACAAAAAGGAGAACUCUUUUUCUUUUUUCACGCUCCACACUCAGAAACAGCUCAUACAAUCAGAAAAUUCUCUCAAAAUCGAUCUGAGCUCAUCUCAGAAAACUCAAAGAUUAGAGCUCAUCUCAUCUCCGAUGGGCUGAUUUGCGGUGGUCAGCUAUCUCAUCUCCGACGACAAGCGAGCCGUUGAUAGCUGUCUCUCUCUGUUUGUUUCCCGAGAAAUUAUGGAAAUUACACUUAUAUCCGAUUCUACUAGGAAAAGAAUGAUGGCAAAUUAAUAGCUGUUCUAACAUCAUCUUUCUUUCUUCACAUUUUUAAGGUUCAGUUUACAGAGAAAAGAAUAAGGAUUGGAUGGAAGCAACCUUCUAGUUUAUUUCUUGCUUCUAUAUCUAUUCUUCUCAGUGAGCAGGUGCCUUUUGCAGAGAAGGACUUGGCAGUAGUCAAUAUUUCUAGGAGAAUUGAACUGGGCAACCGUGCCAUAGGAUUCAACUCAUUUUACAGUUUUGGCUGUUAAGAUAACAGAGUGGGGCUAGGACAAAGAUGAUAGAGGGAGAGCAUUGGUAAUUUGGGGAGAAGAUUUUGAGAGAUACUUGGAGGUGCUGGGGAAGCUGUUUCUGAUCUGAAGCAGCUGUUCUCCCUUGCUGAAAAGUUUGGUUAUGCUGAAUGGAUUGAAUUUGAUGCAUCUAUUUUCUGUGGGCUUGCAUACUACACUGGUAUUGUGUUCGAGACUGAUCAAGUUGAUGUCCGAAUAAAAGCUGUUAAUUUAGUUGGGAAACUUUUUGCGCUGCCCAAACAGCAAGUGGCACAACAUUACCAUGAUCUUUUCUUAGAGUUCUUGAAAAGAUUCUCUAAUAAAUCUGUGGAAGUUAGAGUGAGCGCUCUACAAUGUGUUAAAGCUUUCUACAUGGCCAGUCCUUCUGGAACAGAAUCUCAUGAAGUUAUCAGUAAGUUAUGAGCAAUCAAACUUGUACUGUUAUGAUGGAAAAUCUCUUGAUUCUGUUGUCUUUUGAAUCUACUUAACACAACUCAUUUGUUUAAUGCUUACUAAUUAAGCAGCUGCCCUUGAAGAUCGAUUGUUAGAUUUUGAAUAAAUAUUUUGCUACAAAGCAUA
Long non-coding RNA from Quercus lobata, 1112 nucleotides. RefSeq lists it as uncharacterized. NCBI's taxonomy places the organism in Eukaryota, Viridiplantae, Streptophyta, Magnoliopsida, Fagales, Fagaceae. The record is from RefSeq and is a predicted model, not a curated record. The transcript has 7 exons.